CAGGCUUAACACAUGCAAGUCGAACGAUAUAGUGGCAGACGGGUGAGUAACGCGUGGGAACAUGCCUUUCACUAAGGAAUAGCUUUUGGAAACGAAAGGUAAUACCUUAUACGCCCUCAGGGGGAAAGAUUUAUCGGUGAAAGAUUGGCCCGCGUUAGAUUAGCUAGUUGGUAAGGUAAGAGCUUACCAAGGCUACGAUCUAUAGCUGGUCUGAGAGGACGACCAGCCACACUGGGACUGAGACACGGCCC
Molecule: ribosomal RNA, 251 nt
Filed under: uncultured Chaetoceros
Lineage: Eukaryota; Bacillariophyta; Thalassiosirophyceae; Chaetocerotales; Chaetocerotaceae
Description: partial Bacterial small subunit ribosomal RNA
Rfam family: Bacterial small subunit ribosomal RNA
Source: RNAcentral